This 440-nucleotide ribosomal RNA is filed under the name Pelusios castaneus (West African mud turtle). Its description in RNAcentral is "partial 12S ribosomal RNA". It matches the Rfam family "Bacterial small subunit ribosomal RNA", at positions 769 to 1404 of the family's 1533-position model. Lineage: Eukaryota; Metazoa; Chordata; Testudines; Pelomedusidae. The record is from RNAcentral.
AAAYUGGGAUUAGAUACCCCACUAUGCUUAGCCCUAAAUCAUGAUAUUUCACACAACAUAAAUAUCCGCCAGAGAACUACGAGCUUGUAGCUUAAAACUCAAAGGACUUGGCGGUGUCCCACACCCUACUAGAGGAGCCUGUUCUAUAAGCGAUAAUCCACGAUAAACCUUACCACCCUUUGCCAUAUCAGCCUAUAUACCGCCGUCUCCAGCUUACCUUAUGAAAGCUAAAAAGUAAGCAAAAUAGCCCUCUACAGCUAGUAAGUCAGGUCCAGGUGUAGCCAAUAGAGUGGAUGUAAUGGGCUACAUUUUCUAAAAUAGAAAUAUUCACGAACAGACCCUUGAAACAGGGACUAAGAAGCAGGAUUUAGCAGUAAUCUAGGAAUAGAGAGCCUAUAUUAAGCCGGCCCUGGGACAAGCACACMCCGCCCGUCACCCUC